GUUGUCGGAUUUACUUCAAUCCAUGUGUGUUGGUGUGGAUUGGGGUGGAAUUUAGUUUAAAUUUUACUCCAAUCCACUUCAAUACAUGUGGAUUGAUGUGAAUCUGACU
This is a microRNA precursor of Sorghum bicolor (sorghum), 109 nucleotides long. It matches the Rfam family "MIR5565 microRNA precursor family". Lineage: Eukaryota; Viridiplantae; Streptophyta; Magnoliopsida; Poales; Poaceae. The record is from Rfam.